Molecule: ribosomal RNA, 444 nt
Filed under: uncultured prokaryote
Description: bacterial SSU rRNA
Rfam family: Bacterial small subunit ribosomal RNA
Source: RNAcentral
UAAGGAAUAUUGGACAAUGGGCGGAAGCCUGAUCCAGCCAUCCCGCGUGUAGGAAGACGGCCCUAUGGGUUGUAAACUACUUUUAGAUAGGAAGAAUUUUGUUUAUUUAUGAGCAAUUGACGGUACUAUCAGAAUAAGCACCGGCUAACUCCGUGCCAGCAGCCGCGGUAAUACGGAGGGUGCGAGCGUUAUCCGGAAUCACUGGGUUUAAAGGGUGCGUAGGCGGCUAGAUAAGUCAGAGGUGAAAGGCAUGAGCUUAACUGAUGAAUUGCCUUUGAUACUGUUUAGCUUGAAUUGUGUUGAGGUUAGCGGAAUGUGACAUGUAGCGGUGAAAUGCAUAGAUAUGUCAUAGAACACCAAUUGCGUAGGCAGCUAGCUAGGCAUUAAUUGACGCUGAGGCACGAAAGCGUGGGGAGCGAACAGGAUUAGAUACCCCCGUAGUCC